CGUGAGUGAUGAAGGCUUUCGGGUCGUAAAGCUCUGUCAAGUGGGAAGAAUCCAUAUGGUGUUAAUAUUGCCAUAUGCUGACGGUACCACUGAAGGAAGCACCGGCUAACUCCGUGCCAGCAGCCGCGGUAAUACGGGGGGUGCGAGCGUUAUUCGGAAUUACUGGGCGUAAAGAGCGCGUAGGCGGUCUUUUAAGUCAGGUGUGAAAGCCCGGGGCUCAACCCCGGAAGUGCACUUGAAACUAAGAGACUUGAGUAUGGGAGAGGGAAGUGGAAUUCCUGGUGUAGCGGUGAAAUGCGUAGAUAUCAGGAGGAACAUCAGUGGCGAAGGCGACUUCCUGGACCAAUACUGACGCUGAGGCGCGAAGGCGUGGGGAGCAAACAGGAUUAGAUACCCUGGUAGUCCACGCAGUAAACGGUGAACACUAGGUGUAGCGGGUAUUGACCCCCGCUGUGCCGCAGCAAACGCAUUAA
This 473-nucleotide ribosomal RNA is filed under the name uncultured delta proteobacterium. RNAcentral's name for it is "bacterial SSU rRNA". It matches the Rfam family "Bacterial small subunit ribosomal RNA", at positions 400 to 863 of the family's 1533-position model. Lineage: Bacteria; Deltaproteobacteria. The record is from RNAcentral.